This 287-nucleotide ribosomal RNA is filed under the name Bacteroides fragilis. RNAcentral describes it as "partial 16S ribosomal RNA". It matches the Rfam family "Bacterial small subunit ribosomal RNA", at positions 1 to 280 of the family's 1533-position model. Lineage: Bacteria; Pseudomonadati; Bacteroidota; Bacteroidia; Bacteroidales; Bacteroidaceae. The record is from RNAcentral.
ACAAUGAAGAGUUUGAUCCUGGCUCAGGAUGAACGCUAGCUACAGGCUUAACACAUGCAAGUCGAGGGGCAUCAGGAAGAAAGCUUGCUUUCUUUGCUGGCGACCGGCGCACGGGUGAGUAACACGUAUCCAACCUGCCCUUUACUCGGGGAUAGCCUUUCGAAAGAAAGAUUAAUACCCGAUGGCAUAAUGAUUCCGCAUGGUUUCAUUAUUAAAGGAUUCCGGUAAAGGAUGGGGAUGCGUUCCAUUAGGUUGUUGGUGAGGUAACGGCUCACCAAGCCUUCGAU